CAAUGCCUCAUCCUCCCUUCUCCACUUUAUCCAUGCCCAGAUCUGAUAGAGAACAGAUCUAAGAUGAGAAAAGAGAGAGAAGAAGAGAAGAAGAAGGGUUCUUCUUUUCAUCACGGUGAUCUAGUUCAGAUCCCAUCGGAUCUGUGCGAAAGAGUUCGUGCAGUGAUCUUCUACUUCAAGAUCAGAAAGAAGAGAUCUAGAUCCAAGGAUGCAAAGCGAGAUUUGCAAGAUGCUAGCACACCGGUGAUCUCGAUGCUUUGAUUAGAUAGCUCCAUGUAGAUACCA
This 285-nucleotide long non-coding RNA is filed under the name Elaeis guineensis (African oil palm). Its description in RNAcentral is "long non-coding RNA (EGUI_LNC055340)". Lineage: Eukaryota; Viridiplantae; Streptophyta; Magnoliopsida; Arecales; Arecaceae. The record is from RNAcentral.